ACUGCUCAGUAACACGUGGAAAAUCUACCCUUGGGUGGAGGAUAAUCUCGGGAAACUGAGGAUAAUACUCCAUAGGUCUGGUCUGCUGGAACGCUUCCAGACUGAAAGUUCCGGCGCCCAAGGAUGAUUCUGCGGCCUAUCAGGUUGUAGUGGGUGUAGAGGACCCACUAGCCUUCGACGGGUACGGGCGUUGAGAGACGUAGCCCGGAGAUGGAUUCUGAGACACGAAUCCAGGCCCUACGGGGCGCAGCAGGCGCGAAAACUUCGCAAUGCGCGAGAGCGCGACGAGGGAACCCCAAGUGCUUGUGCACUGCAUAAGCUGUUCAUAUGCCUAAAAAGCAUGUGGAGUAAGGGCUGGGUAAGACGGGUGCCAGCCGCCGCGGUAAUACCCGCAGCCCAAGUGGUGAUCAUUAUUAUUGAGCCUAAAGCGUUCGUAGCCUGUCUGUUAAAUCCCUGGGUAAAUCGGCCAGCUUAACUGUCCGAAUUCCGGGGAGACUGGCAGACUUGGGACCGGGAGAGGUCAGAGGUACUCUUGGGGUAGGGGUGAAAUCCUGUAAUCCUAAGAGGACCACCAGUGGCGAAGGCGUCUGACUAGAACGGAUCCGACGGUGAGGGACGAAGCCCUGGGGCGCAAACCGGAUUAGAUACCCGGGUAGUCCAGGGUGUAAACGCUGCAGACUUGGUGUCGGGAAUCCUACGUGGAUGCCCGGUGCCGGAGAGAAGUUGUUAAGUCUGCCGCUUGGGGAGUACGGUCGCAAGACUGAAACUUAAAGGAAUUGGCGGGGGAGCAC
This 791-nucleotide ribosomal RNA is filed under the name uncultured archaeon. Its description in RNAcentral is "bacterial SSU rRNA". It matches the Rfam family "Archaeal small subunit ribosomal RNA", at positions 85 to 879 of the family's 1478-position model. The record is from RNAcentral.